AUUGAACGCUGGCGGCAGGCCUAACACAUGCAAGUCGAACGAGUGGCGGACGGGUGAGUAAUGUCUGGGAAACUGCCUGAUGGAGGGGGAUAACUACUGGAAACGGUAGCUAAUACCGCAUACCAUCAGAUGUGCCCAGAUGGGAUUAGCUAGUAGGUGGGGUAACGGCUCACCGAGGCGACAAUCCCUAGCUGGUCUGAGAGGAUGACCAGCAACAAUGGAACUGAGACACGGUCCAGACUCCUACGGGAGGCAGCAGUGGGGAAUAUUGUACAAUGGGCGCAAUCCUGAUGCAGCCAUGCCGCGUGUGUGAAGAAGGCCUUCGGGUUGUAAAGCACUUUCAGCGGGGAGGCGUUACCCGCAGAAGAAGCACCGGCUAACUCCGUGCCAGCAGCCGCGGUAAUAC
This 406-nucleotide ribosomal RNA is filed under the name uncultured bacterium. RNAcentral describes it as "partial 16S ribosomal RNA". It matches the Rfam family "Bacterial small subunit ribosomal RNA", at positions 30 to 526 of the family's 1533-position model. The record is from RNAcentral.